RNAcentral lists this long non-coding RNA (201 nucleotides) under Lathyrus oleraceus (garden pea). RNAcentral's name for it is "Pisum sativum (pea) long non-coding RNA (PSAT_LNC035928)". The record is from RNAcentral. Lineage: Eukaryota; Viridiplantae; Streptophyta; Magnoliopsida; Fabales; Fabaceae.
UUGAACAUGUAUCCUUAUUUGACCUUGCCUUGGUUAUCAUGUUGUGAAAUGCUUGAUUCUUAUCCAAUGAAUGUGAAAUUUUGCAUGAUAAAACUAGACACAUUGCUCGACAUUUUGGUGUUGAUUUGGUAUUUUUAUCAAUUGUCAUUUCUGUUUUAUGAUUGUGCUAAGUUGGUGUGACAAUUUGUGUCACACCUUUGC